RNAcentral lists this ribosomal RNA (253 nucleotides) under uncultured bacterium. Its description in RNAcentral is "partial 16S ribosomal RNA". It matches the Rfam family "Bacterial small subunit ribosomal RNA", at positions 524 to 776 of the family's 1533-position model. The record is from RNAcentral.
UACAGAGGCCUCAAGCGUUGUUCGGAUUCAUUGGGCGUAAAGGGUGCGUAGGUGGCGGGGUAAGUCAGGUGUGAAAUCUCGGGGCUCAACCCCGAAACUGCACUUGAUACUGCCUUGCUCGAGUACUGGAGAGGAGAUUGGAAUUUACGGUGUAGCAGUGAAAUGCGUAGAUAUCGUAAGGAAGACCAGUGGCGAAGGCGAAUCUCUGGACAGUUACUGACACUGAGACACGAAAGCCAGGGGAGCAAACGGG